RNAcentral lists this ribosomal RNA (405 nucleotides) under uncultured bacterium. RNAcentral's name for it is "bacterial SSU rRNA". It matches the Rfam family "Bacterial small subunit ribosomal RNA", at positions 355 to 775 of the family's 1533-position model. The record is from RNAcentral.
UGGGGAAUAUUGCGCAAUGGGCGAAAGCCUGACGCAGCUACGCCGCGUGGGUGAUGAAGGCCUUCGGGUUGUAAAGCCCUGUCGGGAGGGACGAAGUUCUGACGGUACCUCCCAAGAAAGCACCGGCUAACUCCGUGCCAGCAGCCGCGGUAAUACGGAGGGUGCAAGCGUUGCUCGGAAUCAUUGGGCGUAAAGCGUACGCAGGCUGUUCGUUAAGUCGGGUGUGAAAGCCCGGGGCUCAACCCCGGAACUGCGCCCGAAACUGGCGAGCUUGAGUGCGGGAGAGGGAAGCGGAAUUCCUGGUGUAGAGGUGAAAUUCGUAGAUAUCAGGAGGAACACCGGUGGCGAAAGCGGCUUCCUGGCCCGACACUGACGCUCAUGUACGAAAGCGUGGGGAGCAAACAG